GCGAGGGUUUCCGAGCCAGGUCAAAGGAGCCAGGUUCAGGGCCUGGUCGUGCAGACGUUCGAGCGUUCGAAUCGCUCCCCUCGCA
RNAcentral lists this transfer RNA (85 nucleotides) under Methanofollis liminatans DSM 4140. RNAcentral's name for it is "tRNA-Leu". The record is from RNAcentral. Lineage: Archaea; Methanobacteriati; Methanobacteriota; Methanomicrobia; Methanomicrobiales; Methanomicrobiaceae.